This 391-nucleotide ribosomal RNA is filed under the name Campylomormyrus sp. JPS1-2000. RNAcentral describes it as "partial 12S ribosomal RNA". It matches the Rfam family "Bacterial small subunit ribosomal RNA", at positions 794 to 1384 of the family's 1533-position model. The record is from RNAcentral. Lineage: Eukaryota; Metazoa; Chordata; Actinopteri; Osteoglossiformes; Mormyridae.
GCCCAGUCAUAAACUUUGAUGAUAAACUACAAAUAUCAUCCGCCAGGGAACUACAAGCGUAUCGCUCGAAACCCAACGGACUUGGCGGUGCCCCACACCCACCUAGAGGAGCCUGUUCUAUAACUGACAAUCCCCGUUCAACCUCACCACCCCUAGCCCCUUCAGUCUAUAUACCACCGUCGUAAGCUCACCCUAUGAAGGAUCAACAGUAAGCAAGAUGGGUACAACCCAAAACGUCAGGUCGAGGUGUAGCACAUGGAGUGGGAAGAAAUGGGCUACAUUUUCUGCCUACAGAACACCACGAACAACGCCAUGAAACCUGCCGUUCAAAGGAGGAUUUAGCAGUAAAAAGAAAACAGAGAGUUCUUUUGAAGCCGGCCCUGGGGCGCGC